UUACGCAUUUUAUCAAUCAGAAUUUCAUGAUUUAUGGAGUCAAAGGCCUUUCUAACAUCAAGAAGUCUUUCUUGAUGUUAGAAAAGCCUUUGACUCCAUAAAUCAUGAAAUAUACAAUCUAUUUGA
Non-coding RNA from Paramuricea clavata, 126 nucleotides. The record is from the annotation of a GenBank genome assembly. Lineage: Eukaryota; Metazoa; Cnidaria; Anthozoa; Malacalcyonacea; Plexauridae.